UCUGGAUUUUGAAGUCGAACAUCUAGGGCAACUAAACAAUUGCCCAAUAUUUUGUCAAAGACGUUAGCAAUGGAUGAUCUAUCCAUUUCCAUAACUAGAUCUUCUAAGAUAUUAAAAGCAAUGACCAAGCUUGCAUUCCCAGAACUAUCACUAACAAGUUCUUCACACAUCUUCCCAAAUAAUUCGAUAGUUAUAUCAUCAGCAUUCAGCUCUCUCCUGUUUUGGGCAGAUUCAAGCAUUGACCGAGCAAUAUCUUUAUCCACAGGCGCUACUAGGACCUAUUCUCUCACAAGCCGUCGUUAAACCGCCAUCUUCACUUAAAGAGCACCCACAUGUACCCACGGUAGAAAAGGUGGAUGAGUGGUUGGUUUCUUGCAUCACUCAGAUGGCAACCUCUUACUCUGACCUUGCGCUUAAACACGAGGUGCCAAAGGAAGCGAGGAGUAAGGGUUUACGUGAAAAGGUAUCACGUGCUCUACAAGGUUUAGCUCCCUGCUAAAUCUCUGGCUUACUUGCACAUAAUCCAUUUACACGAUAUUAUCCUUACCAAACUUGAAUCUCUUGCCUCUGAGUUACGUGAAUUGAAUAAUCUCUUCUUUCUUUCAAAGAUUGAGACUUCCAUAUAAAAACGCUUAUGUGCUACACUAUCCAUCUGUAAAACGAUUCAGUUUUUUCUUUUUGCUAAGUAACGAUUCAGAUUCAUGUGUCAA
Molecule: long non-coding RNA, 710 nt
Organism: Arabidopsis lyrata subsp. lyrata
Lineage: Eukaryota; Viridiplantae; Streptophyta; Magnoliopsida; Brassicales; Brassicaceae
Exons: 2
Source: RefSeq, a predicted model, not a curated record